This 21-nucleotide non-coding RNA is filed under the name Caenorhabditis elegans. The record is from RNAcentral. Lineage: Eukaryota; Metazoa; Nematoda; Chromadorea; Rhabditida; Rhabditidae.
UGAAUCUGAUCUUCUCACUCC